RNAcentral lists this transfer RNA (70 nucleotides) under Camelus bactrianus (Bactrian camel). It matches the Rfam family "tRNA". Rfam says of the family: Transfer RNA (tRNA) molecules are approximately 80 nucleotides in length. RNAcentral also lists the same sequence under 2 other names. Lineage: Eukaryota; Metazoa; Chordata; Mammalia; Artiodactyla; Camelidae. The record is from Rfam by way of RNAcentral.
GGGUAUAGUUCAGUGGUAGAGCACAUGCUUAGCAUGCAGGAAGUCCUGAGUUCAAUCCCCAGUACCUCCA